AGUGAACGCUGGCGGUAGGCCUAACACAUGCAAGUCGAACGGCAGCACAGGAGAGCUUGCUCUCUGGGUGGCGAGUGGCGGACGGGUGAGUAAUACAUCGGAAUCUGCCCAGUCGUGGGGGAUAACUUAGGGAAACUUACGCUAAUACCGCAUACGACCUUCGGGUGAAAGAGGGGGAUCGCAAGACCUCUCGCGAUUGGAUGAGCCGAUGUCGGAUUAGCUAGUUGGCGGGGUAAUGGCCCACCAAGGCGACGAUCCGUAGCUGGUCUGAGAGGAUGAUCAGCCACACUGGAACUGAGACACGGUCCAGACUCCUACGGGAGGCAGCAGUGGGGAAUAUUGGACAAUGGGCGCAAGCCUGAUCCAGCCAUACCGCGUGGGUGAAGAAGGCCUUCGGGUUGUAAAGCCCUUUUGUUGGGAAAGAAAUCUUUCAGGCUAAUACCCUGGGAGGAUGACGGUACCCAAAGAAUAAGCACCGGCUAACUUCGUG
This 490-nucleotide ribosomal RNA is filed under the name uncultured bacterium. RNAcentral's name for it is "partial 16S ribosomal RNA". It matches the Rfam family "Bacterial small subunit ribosomal RNA", at positions 29 to 507 of the family's 1533-position model. The record is from RNAcentral.